UUCUUUUGAAGCUCUUUAAACCCAAUGACUGGAUCUGGAUCCGCAGUCCAAUACUAAAAUUUGGGUGAAGUAAGAUACCUUAAUUCCCUCAAGAUAUAACACCUCACUCAAUAUCAGAAAAUGUUACUUGAAACUUGUAAAUAAAAUUGAGAAUGGAAAUGGGGAAUAUGUCAGAGAGACAACAACCCGACCAAAGAGCAGAAAACAGCCGAAGGCCACCAAUGGGUUUCAACACAGUGAGAAAAUCCUGCACCCGGAGUCGGGAUUCAGCUUUGAUUGCAUUGUUGAUGGCAUCAUAAGUAAAUUGUGCAAUGGUAUGACCAGCAAAAAAAAGAUUUCGAUGUUUUAGUGGUCAUUUUUGAUAGAAAUUGUCCAAUAAAUCCCAUAAUUAUUUGUCAUUCAUUGUUUUAGUAUUAAUCAGGUCAUUCCUUUUCUUGUUUGAAUUGUUUCACAUUUUGUCAUCCAUGUCAUCUAGCAUUUGUUUUGUCAUGUUUGUCAUGUUUUGUCAUGUUUCAUCAUGUUUUGUCAUGGGCCUUUUAUAUUUUACUACAAUAUGGGUUUACUAAUUGUUGAAGGCUGUACAGUUACAUGAAAUUGUUUAACAUCCUAUUAUAAAGUCUUUCUUUCCUUUUGGGGAUAGUUGUCUCAUUGGAUUUCAUACCACAUCUUCUUAUAUUUCUUUGAUGUUUUGUACAGAAAAUAUGGAAUAUGUACACAUAUUUGAUAAUUAAAAUUAUUUUUUAUUAAUUUUUUCAACCAAGAAGACAAUGACACUGUUUUUCUAACUUUAUUUAUGACUCAGAAUAUUAAAAUGAUUUUUAAACUGUUGCUGCUCACAUGGAAGCUAUUAAACCAAGAGUUCUAAGCGGUGAAGUUGAAAUCGUCCCUUAGUAAAUUUUACGGACGCCAUCACAAGUUGGUUAACCGUUAUGGAAUAUCCGUUUCACAGAUGACAACAGAUAUGUUCCAAUUGUCGUAACUACAAUCCUGUCCCCUUUUCCCCGAAUGUGAUCUACCGAAUAAGACUCAUCACCAGGAUCUAACUACGUAAAAUUAAUUAGUUGCCUUAUUGAUAAGUUUCGUAGCUUGUCAUUUCAAAACGUUAACAUCUUUAUCAUUACCCAAAAUUGGGUUGACAUUUCCUAAGUAUAUAUAUGAACAAAAGGAGCCAAAGACCAUUCUAUUUGAUACCAUAUGGACCAACUGCAUGUCUACCAUUUUUGUAACAUGCAUGUAUUGACUAAACACAUGUUUACUAUUUUGUAACAUAUUCACUAAACACAUGUCUACCAUUUUGUAACAUAUUGACUAAACACAUGUUUACCAUUUUGUAACAUAUUGACUAAACACAUGUUUACUAUUUUAUAACAUAUUGACUAAACACAUGUUUACUAUUUUGUAACAUAUUGACUAAACACAUGUUUACUAUUUUGUAACAUAUUCACUAAACACAUGUCUACCCUUUUUGUAACAUAUUGACUAAACACAUGUUUACUAUUUUGUACAUUAUUUCUUGUGAAUUCCAAAACUUUGUACCAACAUAGGUUUUGGUGAUUUUUAAAACAGAUUUAAAUAAUAGGAAAGAAUCAUUCAAUGAGGUAAAGAAUUCAAUUUUGUUAAACAUUUUAAGAUUUACAUUACAAAUUGAAUUAUUAUUUUAUAACAUAGGGUAGCAGUUGCAGUAUUCCUGAUCACUUCUAAUGACCUAUGAUUGGUUAUAUUAAGCAAUACACAGAAAUUUGAUUUAAGGUUUAUUUGCAGACAGGAUUUAGCCUAAUUUUAUUUUAUAGCAAUAAUAAUACAAUGUAAUAAGAUGUUUUUUAAUUGACAAAGAAAUGAUUAUUUGCAUCUGCUUUUAUAUAGUAAUUAAAGAGUUGGUUUAGA
This is a long non-coding RNA of Mytilus californianus (California mussel), 1884 nucleotides long. RefSeq lists it as uncharacterized. The transcript has 2 exons. The record is from RefSeq and is a predicted model, not a curated record. NCBI's taxonomy places the organism in Eukaryota, Metazoa, Mollusca, Bivalvia, Mytilida, Mytilidae.